ACAAUACACAUGCUCUAUAACUUGCCUUUUUCACUUAGCACAAAACUCCCCGUAGAUUAGUAAAUGCAAAACAAUCCGUGCUUUUUGAUGGCUACAUACUAUUUCCUGUAAUGAAUUUGGCCUAAUCACUAGUAAGAGACAUUUAGAAGCGUUGUUUUUAGAUUUCUGCCAACAUACUCUGUUGCUGUUAAUAUCCAUCUAUUAUAUAUCCAUAUGCAUGCAUAUAUGUGUGUAUGUCCUUUGUAAUCUAGUGCUUUAAAGCAAAAACAACAGAAAAACUGACAAUUUCAUCAUCAUAGGCGAUUUUAAUAUAUCAUAUGUAGGAAUUAAUAAAUCAAAAGACUAUGAAUAUGGAAGAUUUAAACAAUGUAAUUAAGCUUGAUAGCUUAAUUACAUAGCAUAGCAUCCUGUGCCUCUAAAUGUGAAUAUUUUGUAAAUAUGAAAUCUUUAUAAAAAUUGACCACAGCUAGAACCAUAAUGGAAUUCUCAGCAAAUAUCAAAGAACUUAAUACUGAUUUAACACAAUUCAAAUAGUUGAUAAAUUGAUAUAAAAAGGAUAAUUUUUAAAUACGAAACACAGAACAUUUAAAACACUUCUAAAUAAUUCAUGGCUUAAAGAACUCAGAAGAUACAUAGGGUUGAAGAAUAAUUAAAAUAUACUCAAACAUGCAGCUAAAUCACUAAUUUAUGAGAAAUCUAUAGCUGUAAAUUGCUGGGGGGAAAUUUGGAAAUAAAAGAGUAUCCAACAUAGCAAGACUACUAGAGAUCGACAAAAACUAUGUUGAAAUGAAUACAUGUAUUAGGAGUGAAAAAAAGAUACAACAUACACUGCAGAGAUUUUAACAAAUAAGGGAUUCCAUAAACAACUUCAUCUGCAUAAACUAGAAAGCUCAGACAAUGUGGGUGGUCACUGAGAGUCUGAACUGAAUCGGACUCAGUAAAGCAGGUGUCCUUGGGGUGAAAAGGUGAAGAGAGAACACUGAAGUUAAUAAAUCGCAUCCCUAGGGUUGGGAUUAUCAGAACUAAAUUGAGUGUGGUUUGCUGAGUCCUGAUUCCAGCAUCAACAGGCAGAGAAUGAGCAACUGUUGAGUUGAAAGGAUCAGAAUCAAAGCCAAAAAUAAAAAGUCAGCAAGCCCAGAACAGUGGAAACUUCAUAACCAUUUAUAGAAGGCUAGACUAAUGCCUGCACUGGCAAAGAAGCCUAAGUCCAACACUCUACUCCAAGGGAAAGUUAGAAAUAAAGAAUCUAACAAAUCUGGAUUGGUAGGCCUGGAAGGAGUACGGUGUUUCCGUUGGUGUUAUAACACUUGAAAAUGAAG
This 1319-nucleotide long non-coding RNA is filed under the name Marmota monax (woodchuck). The record is from RNAcentral. Lineage: Eukaryota; Metazoa; Chordata; Mammalia; Rodentia; Sciuridae.